This 253-nucleotide ribosomal RNA is filed under the name uncultured bacterium. RNAcentral's name for it is "partial 16S ribosomal RNA". It matches the Rfam family "Bacterial small subunit ribosomal RNA", at positions 524 to 776 of the family's 1533-position model. The record is from RNAcentral.
GACGAGCUCCCCGAACGUUAUUCGGUAUUACUGGGCUUAAAGAGUUCGUAGGCGGCCCGACAGGUGAGGUGUGAAAUCCCUCGGCUCAACCGAGGGACUGCGCUUCAAACCGUCAGGCUGGAGGGAGAUAGAGGUGAGCGGAACAGAUGGUGGAGCGGUGAAAUGCGUUGAUAUCAUCUGGAACACCGGUGGCGAAAGCGGCUCACUGGAUCUUUUCUGACGCUGAGGAACGAAAGCUAGGGUAGCGAACGGG